GUCAUGACGAGGCUUUCCACAGAAGUUGUCGCAAGGCCGAAACUUGCGUCCGAAGGCUUUCCAAAUCGGGAAGUAGAAGAUGAUGAGGCUCCCCACUGGAGGCACAAAUAUAACAAGUCCCGCGCAGGCGUACCACAGCUCGGGCCGGGUUUAUCGUCGUCCUCUCCCCUGCUGCCGCCACCGUCAAUCACCACAAGAGUCAAGUUAAACUCAGCUACCACUGGCCUGUUGCUCAAAGAAAGCAACUACCGAGAGCAGAGCCGAGGAGGGAGUGGGGAUCCCUGCAAGGGGAGCUGAGCUGAGCUGAGCUGAGAGGGUUGCGGGCACUCGAAGGGUUCGCCUCCCGACUAGGGAGAAGAAGAAGAAGACUAGGGAGAAGAAGAAGAAGAAGAAGACGAGAUCGAGAGAGAAAUUUAGAGUACAGGAACUUUUCUGAAACUCCUGCGCACAGGGGCCGACGGGUAAACGAACGAGAGCAACGUACGUUGAAGCAGUGGUGUAAAAGAAAGAGAGAUGAUGCCCAUCCUCUUAUGAAGAUUCCUCUUUCUUACUAAAGAAAGUAAUUGAAGCCACUGAGAAUUUCGAUCAGAGACAUGAAAUUGGUAGAGGAGCUCAUAGGAUAGUUUACAAGGUAUCUCUUGACACAAGGAAAAUAUAUGUUGUAAAAAAGAUUGGUUUUCCAAGUCAGAAAUGAUCAUAUCCGAGCUUGAUAAGAGAAAUCCAAACUAUUGGGAAAAUCAAGCAUAGAAAUUUAAUGAAACUGAAUAAAUUAUGAUUUGAAUGUAAAUAUGAACUUUUAUUGGAUCAGUAUAUGGCAAAUGACAGUCUCCAUGAUGUUCUUCAUGAGAUUAAAUCUGCACCAGUCUUGGAUGGAAGGUGAGGUACAAGAUAGCUUUUGGCAUUGUCCAAGGGCUAGAUUAUCUUCACAACGGCUACAGCCCUGCGAUCAUACACCGUGACAUAAAGUCGAAAAACAUAAAGGUACAAGAUAACUUUUGACAUUGUUCAAGGGCUAGGUUCUCUUCAGAACGGCUAUAGUCUUGCAAUCAUCCACACCCUUGGGCAAUGUUGUAACCGUUGUGAAAAUAAUCUAGUCCUUGGGCAAUGUCAAAAGUUAUCUUGUACCUUUAUGUUUUUCGGCUUUAUGUCACGGUGUAUGAUCGCAGGGCUGUAGUCGUUGUGAAGAUAAUCUAGUCCUUGGGCAAUGUCAAAAAUUAUCUUGUAUCUCACCUUCCACUACAAGACUGGUGCAGGCUUAAUCUCAUGAAGAACAUCGUGAAGGCUGUCAUUUGUCAUAUAUUGAUCCAAUAAAAGUCCAUAUUUACAUUAAAACCAUAAUUUAUUCAAUUUUAUUAAAUUUCUAUGUCUGAUUUUCCCAAUAGUUUGGAUUUCUCUUAUCAAGCUUGGAUAUGAUCGUUUCUGACUUGGAAAAGUAAUCUUUUUUACAGCAUAUAUUUUUUUAAGUCAAGGGAUGUCUUGUAAACUAUUAAUGUAGAGUCUCCUGUUUAACAAGAGAUGCAGAGUCAAGGAUUUCCUAUAAAUGAACUUGGCAUUGAUUCUACAAACUUAAGCAAACCUCUUAGCAAUGAACCACUAAAGUCAUUGUACGAAGCAUUGAUAAACGUUAAUGAACUGAGAUCAGCCAAGGGCAUCAAACUUCUUGUUAGAUUGUUCUAAGAAAUAUCCAAGCUCUGUAGCAUAUUCAAAUUAUUCAACUCAAAUGAAAGUUCUACUAGUCCAUUAUCACUGAAGUUUAAGGCUGUAUUCAAGUUUUGCAAUGAGCCCAAUGAUGGCGGGAUGCUAUAUCACAAUUUGUUUCCUCUAAACUGCAAUUGAAUCAGUUGAUUUAACUUGGAUAGGAAAUUCAGAAUUUCUCCUCUAAAUUGAUUCUCUUGCAGUAUCAAAUGAGAGAGUAGAUAAGUUUGCAAGCCAAAUUGAUUCUCUUGCAGUAUCA
This is a long non-coding RNA of Zingiber officinale, 1954 nucleotides long. RefSeq lists it as uncharacterized. NCBI's taxonomy places the organism in Eukaryota, Viridiplantae, Streptophyta, Magnoliopsida, Zingiberales, Zingiberaceae. The transcript has 3 exons. The record is from RefSeq and is a predicted model, not a curated record.